Molecule: long non-coding RNA, 774 nt
Organism: Gallus gallus (chicken)
Lineage: Eukaryota; Metazoa; Chordata; Aves; Galliformes; Phasianidae
Exons: 2
Source: RefSeq, a predicted model, not a curated record
AAUGAUUAACUACCAUGCUGUCAUAGUGAAGAGCAAAAUCAGGUCCCUGCAGUAUAGAAAGAAGGGCUUCAUAGCAAGAAAAGAGAAAGCAGCUUCACAAAGUAGACAUAAGGGGCAAAUAGAGAUAGUUUAUGUAGAGAGUAUUAGAAAAGAAGGGAUUCCAAGCACUUUCACAGGCGCUAGGUCCAGAAUAACAAGAAUGAAGGCCAUAAAGAUAAGGACCGGAGAACAGCUCAAAAACAUUUGGCAGGGAGGUGAUUAGAUGUCUGAGGUGCAAGCUGAAACCAGUCUGGGGGAUGCCCCCCCCUUCAGGGUCAGAAGUUUGCAGCGAGGAAGACUACGAGCCUUCAUCAUCACGACCUACUACGCACGCGCAAGGGGGGGAGGGACUGUAUGCUAAUGGACUCUCGGGAAUGUAGUGAGGAAGUUGGAGGCAUCUGCUGGAAUCCUUUGGGGCAAAGGCUGGUGACUCUGGAUGUGCCUCUGGGAGCAUCACAAUUGCUGAUGAUCAUCGUCAGAGCUGUGUUUUCCUCUACCUGGAGCUGCAGCAGCACGAGUGCAGAAAAACAGAACAAUUGUAAAGGGUUUUCUGAAGGACCCUUUUCUGUUCCAUCACACAAUAGCCCUCUUGGCUUGGUCCUCCAGGCAACCAUGUCUGUGGGUCCCCCUUCCCCGUUAGUCACAGAACUGGGCUGAACCAGCCCAUAAACCACUGUCAGUUUUUUUUGUUCAGGCAUACUUAUUGUCUUAAAAUAAAGUUAUUUUUGCAAUUUA